This 762-nucleotide long non-coding RNA is filed under the name Trifolium pratense (red clover). RNAcentral describes it as "long non-coding RNA (TPRA_LNC005984)". Lineage: Eukaryota; Viridiplantae; Streptophyta; Magnoliopsida; Fabales; Fabaceae. The record is from RNAcentral.
GUAAGCAUCAACACUCGCAUAAACAACUUGUUCAUCGCUCAGAACUUCAUCAUCCCAAUCACUUCUUCCAAUUUCACCACUCUGUUCAAUUUCAUAACCGAGACAUUUCUCAACGAUUUCAUCCACCGAAGCACGAGCUAGGUCUUCAUCAUCAUCAUCAUCAUCAUCAUCAUCAUCUUCAGCCUCUGCUUCAGCGUAAAGCCUCAGAUCCAACGGAUCUCUGUACAUCUCGAAUCGUUGAUCCGACGUCUUCAACUUCCGGCGAUCGGAGUGGUUCCAAAAACCUACAAAUGUGUGGUUACGAUUCAGAAGAAAGUUCUGGAGGCUCUUUGGAACGUUGGUAGCGUGAGCUAGUUGGAAGAUUAAGCAUCGGCGACCGACGCAGAGCUGUAAAGUAUCAGCUGGAGGAUCCCUGCCGCCGGGAGUCCAUUGAACGCCGAGACCGACGACGAGACGGUUUCGCUGUNNNNNNNNNNNNNNNNNNNNNNNAAGCAACGGCGGUGACGGUUACUUUGAUUUCGUUUCCGUGCAAGUUAACGGUGUAAACGUCGUGAGUGUUAAAGCUUUCACGGUCGACGAUGGAGGGCAUUUUGGACUUUUGAGUGUUAAAAUGAAAGGAAAUGGAAGAGAAAAUUUGUUGUGAGUGGAAUGCGGUUAUGGUGGCUGCUGCAUCAAGCGGUUAUGUACUAUUGGAGAGAGACAAUUCGCGCGGUAGUGGGAUAUGAUUCUGUACGAACGCUGCUGUAUAUUCUAUGAUACACC